This 825-nucleotide ribosomal RNA is filed under the name Triticum aestivum (bread wheat). RNAcentral's name for it is "partial small subunit ribosomal RNA". Lineage: Eukaryota; Viridiplantae; Streptophyta; Magnoliopsida; Poales; Poaceae. The record is from RNAcentral.
AUGGCAUCCUCCUCCAUUGCGGUCGCGGCUGCUCUGAUCCUCUGCAUCCUCGUCGCCCAUGCCCAUGGCUGCUACGCCAAGCACCACGCGGCUCCUUCUGCGGCCAACUCCAGCUGGCUUGAUGCCAAGGCGACAUGGUACGGCGCACCCCAUGGUGCCGGGCCUGACGACAAUGGCGGCGCGUGCGGGUUCAAGAACGUCAACUUACCACCCUUCUCCUCCAUGACCUCCUGCGGCAACCAGCCGCUCUUCAAGGACGGCAAGGGCUGUGGCUCCUGCUAUCAGAUAAGGUGCUUAAAGCCAGACCACCCUGCGUGCUCCGGUGUGCCGAAGACGGUGAUCAUCACGGACAUGAACUACUACCCGGUCUCCCGCUACCACUUCGACCUCAGUGGCACCGCCUUCGGAGCCAUGGCCAAGGACGGCCGCAACGACGAGCUCCGCCACGCCGGCAUGAUCAACAUGCAGUUCAAGAGGGUACCGUGCCAGUAUCCGGGGCUGACGGUGACGUUCCACGUGGAGGAGGGGUCGAACCCGUUCUACAUGGCAAUCCUGGUGGAGUACGAGAACGGCGAUGGCAAUGUGAAUCAGCUGGACAUCAUGGAGUCGCGACCGAAUGGCGGUAAGAUGGCUCCAACAGGGCAGUGGGUGCCCAUGAAGGAGUCGUGGGGUUCCAUCUGGAGGAUGGAUGCCCACCACCCCAUGAAGGCGCCAUUCUCGUUGCGCAUCACCAACGAGUCCGGCAAGACACUUGUCGCCGAACAGGUCAUCCCCAUCGAUUGGAAGCCCAACAAAACCUACAGCUCCCUCGUCCAGUUUCAUUAA